AACCAGGCACACUCCGGGGGCGUCCUCUUCCAACGCUGCCCCACCUGCUGCUGAAUGGAGCUUGGAGAGUUUCCUCCAACACCAUCUGGCUAAGUUCAGUGGGAAAGGCCUCCCUGACGAAGCGGAUCAGUGGUUAAGGGACAUGGAGAAGAUCUUCAACGCCAAGAGGUGUCCAGAUGAGAAUCGGUUGGCGUUCACUGAAUAUUUGUUAACUGGGGAAGCAAGCCACUGGUGGGCGAGCACACGGGCUAUUCUGGCAGACGCCCAACGUCCGAUCACUUGGGAAGUGUUCCGUGGCAAGUUUUACGAGGAGUACUUCCCUGACAGCGUCCGUUUUGCGAAGGAAGUGGAGUUUCUAUAGCUGGUUCAAGGUGGGAUGUCGGUUUCUGAGUAUACCAAUAAGUUCAAACACCUUGUUCGGUUCAAUAAGAUGGCCUACGUUGAGGAGUGGCAGUACAGGAAGUUUGAGAAUGGAAUGCGAAGUGAAAUACGAUUGAAAUCCUAACCUCCACUGCAAACGCCUUUUUCGUGUUUCCCUCUCCUCGAACCCUAGCCGCUACCACGUGCUCCAUUACAAGGUUGAGGGGACUGGAGACCGCUCCACCAGUCAUGCCUCCUCGUUGGCUCUCCCCUUGGAACCCUAACUCAUUCUUAGACUCACGUGGAGACGACUGGAAUGGUAGCGUCGAAGUCUCGUGCUUACUGACUAAAGCUUUCUCACUCACACUCUCUCACGGUCACUGGUAGAGAAGAAGAAUGUCCCACACUAACUGUUCUUCUCGCUCACGCUCACUCAAAGAGAAGAAGUUCGUCCAUUCUUCUCGUGUUCACUCACCUUGUUGGACAUCAUGCUCACUUGGGAGAGUUAUUCGUUCAAUCGAAUGGUCCGUUGUGGGGUUUGCGCAAAGAUUCACCGAAUAUAUUCGUUUGUUCUUGAAUAUGUAGUUGAUUUUGAUGAAUAAAGCUUCUGAAAUGUGAAAGACGGUGAUGGACUUAUUCCUAGGCCAAACCAUGGAAGUGAGAGUGCAAAAGAAGAAGAGAGAGACCGGAGAGUGGGUCGCCGUUGAUGCCAAGACCAAACCCCUCUUGGAGCUCCAGACGAGGUGAAGUUUGCCUUAGACAUUGUGGUCCUGUAUUGUAGCUUUACAACAGUUUGCUUCCCUACUUAUCCUAUAUUAGGUUCCUCCCUCUACAUAGUUCAUUGGUCUAUCAUGAUCCCAUUUCAAUUUAAUUGGCCAUGGAGCUUUCUCAUUCUAGUGUCUUCUAAUUCUUAGUUCUGGUGCAAGUGUCUGGUUUGAAGUCCAUCACAUCUAAACACCUGGCAUUGGUAAGUCAAGUAAUUAGUUUCGUACAUGUUAUUAUUCCUGGUUCAAACUUACUCACCUAAAUGAAGUUUUUAAUGCGUUUUCUCUGGGAUGUAUUGAGUUCUCUUAGGAGAAACCAACUAAUGAGCAAAAGAAGUUUAGCCAUGUUACUCCAUUAAUUUUAGCAUUAGCGGAUGAAGUGUCAACCCGUGGUUAUCUUUCUUUAGAAGUCAUUGAGCAGGUUGAAGGUGAGGUCCAGCGAUUAAAUGUUGUCAAAGCCAGUAAGAUGAAACAUUUGAUGUUUAAGAGGCAGAAUGAGCUUAAAGAAUUUUACAGAGGAGUUCACAUGGUUUGAAGGAAUUACAGAGUUUCCUUGAUAACUUGGUCUCUUUUUGAUGCAGAUUCAUCACGAGGCGCGUCACCCUAAGAUCCCCUCUGAGGAGGACAAGGUCGUCAACCUUCACGCCAUAAUCGCCAGCGAAUCGUCGAAGCCGCGUCCAAGCAUUCGCGGAAGCCACAAGAAAUGCUUAGAUUUUGGAAACGAGAUACUCUUUGCAUUUUUAACUUAGUCGUAUUUUUGGGAAGACUUAAGCUCUAACCAUGUCAUCUUCAAAUGACCACUAACCAGAAUGUUUUGGAUGUGGGGACUAGAAGUGGCAUUCUUGCUAUAUGGUCAGCUCAAGCAGGCGUGAGGAAGGUGUAUGCAGUGGAAGCGACGAAGAUGUCAGAACAUGCUCGUGCACUAGUCAAAGCGAAUAAUCUCCAGAAUGUAGUUGAGGUCAUCGAGGGAUCAAUGGAGGAUGUUACCUUGCUUUAGAAAGGAUUUGUGGUGGAAGAAAACAUGCUCGUGACCCUGGCUCAAACUGACAGGAGUGAUGUGCUUGCAUUAAAGUAUUUGCAUUCCCUGCAUGGGUUGAAAUAGACACGUGUAAAGCUUGAUCUUGAUGCAAAGAUGGUAUUGAUUGAGGAGAAAUAGGUCCAGGGACUAAAUAGGAAGUUGAAGUACGGGCUUGCUUUGUACAUGCGGUGGAGAAAAUGCAAGAGCUAAUAAGUAAAAGUCAGGAAGACAGGUUAUUAAGGAAACAAUUGAUUCCAAUAUUACAAUAGAAUACAAGUCAAACACAGUUGAUGAUUUACAUAUGAGGAAGCCAGAUAUUAGCAAAGCGAAGGAACUGCUGAUUUGGGAACACAAAAUCCCACUUAAUGAUGAAAUUGGAUUCUGAAUAAAGAUGAAGGUAAAGGGAUGAAAAUUUCCUUUAGGAAGGAGAUUUAUUCUAAUCUUCCAUUUCAGGCUAUGAAGGAAGUUAAUUAGCUUUUAGAAAUGUUACCUUUAGAAGUUUAAUUGUAUAUUGAUUUACAAUAUGAAAAUCAAAGUUAAUUAGCUUUUAAAAAUGUUACCUUUAGCAGUUUAAUUGUAUAUUGAUUUACAAUGUGAAAAUCAACUAAGAUACACGUGAUUGUUAAUUUA
Vigna angularis (adzuki bean) is the source of this 2772-nucleotide long non-coding RNA. RefSeq lists it as uncharacterized. The transcript has 9 exons. The record is from RefSeq and is a predicted model, not a curated record. NCBI's taxonomy places the organism in Eukaryota, Viridiplantae, Streptophyta, Magnoliopsida, Fabales, Fabaceae.